This 253-nucleotide ribosomal RNA is filed under the name uncultured bacterium. Its description in RNAcentral is "partial 16S ribosomal RNA". It matches the Rfam family "Bacterial small subunit ribosomal RNA", at positions 524 to 776 of the family's 1533-position model. The record is from RNAcentral.
GACGAAGGAUGCAAGCGUUAUCCGGAUUCAUUGGGUUUAAAGGGUGCGUAGGUGGGUUUGUAAGUCAGUGGUGAAAUCUCCAAGCUUAACUUGGAAACUGCCGUUGAUACUAUAAAUCUUGAAUGUUGUGGAGGUGAGCGGAAUAUGUCAUGUAGCGGUGAAAUGCUUAGAUAUGACAUAGAACACCAAUUGCGAAGGCAGCUCACUACACAAAGAUUGACACUGAGGCACGAAAGCGUGGGGAUCAAACAGG